Small nuclear RNA from Camelus dromedarius (Arabian camel), 107 nucleotides. The record is from Ensembl. Lineage: Eukaryota; Metazoa; Chordata; Mammalia; Artiodactyla; Camelidae.
GUGCUUGCUUCGGCAGCACAUACACUAAAAGUGAAACGAUACAGACAAGAUUGGCAUGGCCCCUGCACAAGGAUGACAUGCAAAUUCACGAAGCAUAGACACUAACU